UAAAAUUGAACCCAUCAAAUUAUAUACUUUAAACAUGUGCCAUGCUUUUUAUGUAUCAAUUAUACCUUAAUAAAGCAGUUUUUAAAACUUGAAUUUAUGGAAAUAAAAUGCCACAGAAGAGUUUUUGAAAGAGUGUUAUAAAUGCUUGACUACACCAUUAAUUAUGCUUAUGUUUGGAGAAGCUUGAUUUAAUACCUCUUAUAAGCAUGUCUGGACAAAAAUUAGCCAUGUUGUCAUGGACUGUAUAUGUCCCGAUGUUACCAAGGUUUCUUUCCAAAGUUAUUUUUUUAUAAAUUGAAAUAUGCCUUGACUAUGUGGAAAGUACUAUCCUUAUGAAAAGUUUCUUUUGUUUACAUUCUUACAAAUUUUUUCUUCUUUUAAAGUGUUAGUGACAAACAGUCUGCGGUAACUGAAUCCUCAGAGGGUACAGUAUCCUUAUUGAGGUGAAGUAAAUUGACAUUUUUCUUCUUUGUCUUUCAAAUCUUUGAUUGAAGCAAUUCAUGCAGACCUAAUAUAACUACCACAUAAAUGGUACAAUUGAAAGAAUAUCUCAGGGUCCUACUUAGCCCAACAGAUAUUCACGACUCUGAGACAUCUUGAAAUUCCAAACUGUAGAGACCUGCUCUGAGACUGGGUUGUUUCACAUUGUUUCUACAAAGCCAUUAUUGGAAUACACAUAUAGGGAGUUCUUGAGCUUAAAACAGAUGUUUAGUAAACACUUAUCUGUCAUAGAAACAAAGAUACGAUGCUGGGGCAGGAAGGGGAUGGGAAUUACAUUUCUAAUGAAUGCCCCAGUGCCAGUUUUAUGAAAGUUACUUGAAAAACUUUAUUUGAUCUAAUAGAAUCGCUGUGACAGACAAUAUGACCUGUCUCGAGGGCAGAAAGUCUGCAUGAAUGAUUUCUAACAUAGAGCAGUUGGGAUCACAAGUGGAACCAUGGGAGGAGGUGGCUGACUUCAUGUGGAGGAGGUGAUUGGACAUGAGGAAUUGAGAGGCCAAGAUGGUAUAUGAAUUGUCUGUGAGAACACUGAAAUAAUUCAGAAUAGCAGCACUUAGGUGUAGAGAAAGAUCUGUGAAUGAUGAAGAAGUGCUUGGAAGGAUGGUAAAUGGCUGUGAAGAAUGAUCGAAGGUGAUAUAUCCCAGUGGCAUGAAUCCUCAAGGCUGAAGUUUCUAUGGAAGCAGGAUCUUGAAAGUGGCAUUCAUUAGGAAAUGAAAACUGCUGUCUCUGGAGUCCUAUAGUUUAUGGAGGGUGGAAGAUUAAGCCAAUCUCUACUUGAGAAGGCUACCAAGGAGAGAAACAUUGCCCCCAGGGGAAAGCUAGAUUUUAGACAAGGCAAAGAGCAGAGAGGAAUGGGUGAAGAGAUUGAGAAUGACAUUCCAGAAAGGACAAUAGAAAGUCUUGGGAAGGAGGGACAGAGGGGAAGAGAGAAAGGAUAGCUGGUCACCUAGAGUAUCUAUAGGGAUAAAAGUAUAGCUAAAAUAACCUACAUUUUAGGUGGAGAUAAUACAGCUGCCUAAGCUUAGGUGAACUGCUUUUUGAAUCUUAGUUUGCUCCUUCAUAAAAUUGGAUUAAUAUAAUACCAAUUUGGCAGGGUUUUCAAAAAAAAUGAUGCCAUGUCCUGUGUUUCCAAACAGCCUUACCUUUCAAAAGUCUUUUUGGAAGCUGUAAAGAUAAUCAAGUGAUACCUGCCAUUAUGUAAAGGAAUUUUGGAAUCCGUCUUUGGGGAAAUAAAAGCCAUAACAGAGAAUGAAAGCUAAUACUUUGUAGUUUAAGGAUUUUUUUCCUUGAUGUAUCUAAUUGGAAGGCCGAAAGAGUCUUGUCUUUUUUCUUUUUUUGCCUGCUUCUUCUGAGACAUCAAAAAACAUCUUGAUUUCUGCGGAGUAGAUGAGAUGGAGAAAGAUGAGAGAGGCAACAGAAAUCUUAAGAGGCCACAGGUUAAGAUGGGGCACUAAGCAGGGAGAGCACCAAAGGAAAUAGGCCGAAGUAUUAAUAGAAGAUCCUAGAACAGAUUAAGGCAAAUCAUUUACCUUUUUUCCAUUGCUUUACUAAUCUUUCUGGAGCCAAUUAUAAACUUUCAUAUUUUAUUUUAGGUCUCACAAGAAUCUUUUCUUACCUAAGUUGCAACAUGGAACCGAGCAACAAGACCUUAAUAAGAAAGAAAGAAGAGUAGGAACUCUUCAAAGUACAAAAAAGAAAAAAGAAAGCAGAAGAGCCACUGAAAGCAGAAUACCUGUUUCAAAGAGUCAACUGGUAACUCCUGAAAAACAUCGAGCUAGAAAAAGACAGGCAUGGCUUUGGGAAGAAGACAAGAAUUUGAGAUCUGGUGUGAGGAAAUAUGGAGAGGGAAACUGGUCUAAAAUACUGUUGCAUUAUAAAUUCAACAACCGGACAAGUGUCAUGUUAAAAGACAGAUGGAGGACCAUGAAGAAACUAAAACUGAUUUGCUCAGACAGCGAAGACUGAUUGUGUUUGUAAAAGCUUGAUGAAAGGACAGUUAAGUAUUUUAAUCACUGCAUUUUGUUUGAAACUUGUGUCAUUGAUGUAAUUUAAAACUUUUGUUUAAAGCAUUACAGUAUUUUUCUGUGACCAUCAAUUAAUAUGAGGGUUUGUGCUAUAAGAGUUAAAGCAUAUGCUAUCAUUGUAUUCUUUAAGAACCUUAUUUUGAUAAAAUGUAAAUUUGUUGAACCCUGCCACAUUUAGUAUCCCCACCCCCAAAUCCUGUUCCAAUGAAAAAAUUAAAACCUAGUACGAAAAAAAAAAAAAAUUUCAGUUAACCUAUUUUGUGUCCUGUAGGCUGACCUCAACCCUGUAACGUAACCCAUUAAAUGAAUUUUCUUUUUUUUGAGACAGCGUUUCUCUCUGUUGCCCAGGCUGGAGUGCAAGUGUGCAAUUUCAGCUCACUGCAACCUCUGCCUCCCAGGUUCAAGCGAUUCUCCUGCCUCAGCCUCCUGAAUAGCUGGGAUUACAGGCACACACCACCACGCCCAGCUAAUUUUUGUAUUUUUAGUAGAGGUAGGGUUUCACCAUGCUGGUCAGGGUGGUCUCCAACUCCUGACUUCAUGAUCCACCCACCUCGGCCUCCCAAAGUGCUGAGAUUACAGACAUGAGCCACUGCGUCCUGCCUAAAAUGAAUUUUCCAGAUGAUUGAAUAACAGUAGUCCUUUGAUAGGAGAUAAUGACUUGGUUUAUGGCCUUAAUAUACUACUUAAUUACUUAAGAUGUUUAUUAAUAGAAUGAUAAAUGUACAGAGUAACCUAUAAGCAUGACAUACUUUUGCUUUCAGUAGUUUCAUGUAAAGAAAAAA
RNAcentral lists this small RNA (3304 nucleotides) under Pongo abelii (Sumatran orangutan). Its description in RNAcentral is "retained intron". Lineage: Eukaryota; Metazoa; Chordata; Mammalia; Primates; Hominidae. The record is from RNAcentral.